RNAcentral lists this long non-coding RNA (415 nucleotides) under Nicotiana benthamiana. RNAcentral's name for it is "long non-coding RNA (NBEN_LNC012346)". Lineage: Eukaryota; Viridiplantae; Streptophyta; Magnoliopsida; Solanales; Solanaceae. The record is from RNAcentral.
UUGAAUUCUGUUGGACAUUAUCCAGAAAAGAGACGAUGAACUACAAAAGAGACAUUACUGUUAUAAACAGACAAGCUUCAUUCUAACAUAUAAUGAACUAUGACCCAUCUUGACAGAUCCAGAUAAGAAUUCAAGCCCAUGAUCAGGUGAAAGUCCACAAUGCAAUGACUUGAAAACCAAAAAUCCAUGGGCAUAAGGCAUUAGCUCACGUUGCGUGGACCCUAAUUCCUUCCACACCAUCUACCAUCCCCAAAAGGAAUUGGAGAACGCCCAAAUCAGUAGGGAGAAAAAAAGACAGGCCACAAAGAACUCAAGCCCAUGAUCAGGUGAAAGUCCACAAUGCAAUGACUUGAAAACCAAAAAUCCAUGGGCAUAAGGCAUUAGCUCACGUUGCGUGGACCCUAAUUCCUUCCAC